This 492-nucleotide ribosomal RNA is filed under the name uncultured bacterium. Its description in RNAcentral is "partial 16S ribosomal RNA". It matches the Rfam family "Bacterial small subunit ribosomal RNA", at positions 29 to 507 of the family's 1533-position model. The record is from RNAcentral.
AGUGAACGCUGGCGGUAGGCCUAACACAUGCAAGUCGAACGGCAGCACAGUAAGAGCUUGCUCUUACGGGUGGCGAGUGGCGGACGGGUGAGGAAUACAUCGGAAUCUACUUUUUCGUGGGGGAUAACGUAGGGAAACUUACGCUAAUACCGCAUACGACCUACGGGUGAAAGCAGGGGAUCUUCGGACCUUGCGCGAUUGAAUGAGCCGAUGUCGGAUUAGCUAGUUGGCGGGGUAAAGGCCCACCAAGGCGACGAUCCGUAGCUGGUCUGAGAGGAUGAUCAGCCCCAAUGGAACUGAGACACGGUCCAGACUCCUACGGGAGGCAGCAGGGGGGAAUACUGGACAAUGGGCGCAAGCCUGAUCCAGCCAUACCGCGUGGGUGAAGAAGGCCUUCGGGUUGUAAAGCCCUUUUGUUGGGAAAGAAAAGCAGCAGGUUAAUACCCCGCUGCUCUGACGGUACCCAAAGAAUAAGCACCGGCUAACUUCGUG